This 459-nucleotide ribosomal RNA is filed under the name uncultured bacterium. Its description in RNAcentral is "bacterial SSU rRNA". It matches the Rfam family "Bacterial small subunit ribosomal RNA", at positions 15 to 518 of the family's 1533-position model. The record is from RNAcentral.
GAUCCUGGCUCAGAACGAACGCUGGCGGCAGGCCUAACACAUGCAAGUCGAGCGCGCCCUUCGGGGUGAGCGGCGGACGGGUUAGUAACGCGUGGGAACGUACCCUUUGGUAGGGAAUAGCCACUGGAAACGGUGAGUAAUACCCUAUGAGCCCUUCGGGGGAAAGAUUUAUCGCCAAAAGGAUCGGCCCGCGUUAGAUUAGGUAGUUGGUGGGGUAAUGGCCUACCAAGCCUACGAUCUAUAGCUGGUUUUAGAGGAUGAUCAGCAACACUGGGACUGAGACACGGCCCAGACUCCUACGGGAGGCAGCAGUGGGGAAUCUUGGACAAUGGGGGCAACCCUGAUCCCAGCCAUGCCGCGUGAGUGAAGAAGGCCUUAGGGUCGUAAAGCUCUUUCGCCUGUGAAGAUAAUGACGGUAGCAGGUAAAGAAACCCCGGCUAACUCCGUGCCAGCAGCAGC